CAUACAUACCACAGUCUACAUACAUAUCACAGUCUUCAUACAUAUCACAGUCUACAUACAUACCACAGUCUACAUUCAUACCACAGUCUACAUACAUAUCACAGUCUACAUACAUAUCACAGUCUACACAGUCUACAUACAUAUCACAGUCAACAUACAUACCACAGUCUACACCGUCUACAUACAUAUCACAGUCUACACAGUCUACAAGAAGGGCAUUGGAUGGUCAUCCACUUUGACAAGUAAACAUAAUUAGAAAGAGUGAAGCUUGCCUUUUUACCAAAUAUGGCAUCAAAGUGCUCUGUAAAUUAAUAAUCAGAAUCACGUAUAUAUUUUGUCAUUGCAGCAAUAAGUGCUUGCAUGUAUUUGUGAGAAAUCUCUGUCUUCCAUACAUACAAGUAGAUAGCAAUAUUUAUGUUGUUCACUAACCUACAGUACACAAACAUCAUGUUUAAAUGAUAUGUAGUGUUACUUUAAAACACUUUGACAUGUAGCAGAAUUCUUUAUUUAGUUGGUGCUGGUGUAUAUAUAUAUGUUUACAGCUGAAUUGCUGAAACAUAUUGACAACAUAAUGUGCUGUAUAUGUAAUCUACAUAUUGACAACAUAAUGUGCUGUAUAUGUAGUCUACAUGUUGACAACAUAAUGUGCUGUAUAUGUAAUCUUCAUGUUGACAACAUAAUGUGCUGUAUAUGUAAUCUUCAUGUUGACAACAUAAUGUGCUGUAUAUGUAAUCUUCAUGUUGACAACAUAAUGUGCUGUAUAUGUAAUCUUCAUGUUGACAACAUAAUGUGCUGUAUAUGUACCCUUCAUAUUGACACCAUAAUGUGCUGUAUAUGUAACCUACAUGCUGACAACAUAAUGUGCUGUAUAUGUAAUCUACAUAUUGGCAACAUAAUGUGCUGUAUAUGUAAUCUACAUAUUGGCAACAUAAUGUGCUGUAUAUGUAAUCUACAUAUUGGCAACAUAAUGUGCUGUAUAUGUAAUCUACAUAUUGGCAACAUAAUGUGCUGUAUAUGUAAUCUACAUAUUGGCAACAUAAUGUGCUGUAUAUGUAAUCUACAUAUUGGCAACAUAAUGUGCUGUAUAUGUAAUCUACAUAUUGGCAACAUAAUGUGCUGUAUAUGUAAUCUACAUAUUGGCAACAUAAUGUGCUGUAUAUGUAAUCUACAUAUUGUCAACAUAAUGUGCUGUAUAUGUAACCGACAUGUUGACAUCAUAAUGUGCUGUAUAUGUAAUCUACAUGUUGACAACAUUAUAUGCUGUAUAUGUAAUCUACAUGUUGACAACAUAAUGUGCUGUAUAAUAGUAAUCUACAUAUUGACAACAUAAUGUGCUGUAUAUGUAAUCUACAUGUUGCUGAAAUGGCAACAAUUAACACAAUUUUUGAAUGCAAUUAUUUCCUAGAACAACAAUAAAUUAAUGAAAACGAA
Molecule: long non-coding RNA, 1431 nt
Organism: Mizuhopecten yessoensis (Yesso scallop)
Lineage: Eukaryota; Metazoa; Mollusca; Bivalvia; Pectinida; Pectinidae
Exons: 2
Source: RefSeq, a predicted model, not a curated record